UGGGGAAUUUUGGACAAUGGGCGCAAGCCUGAUCCAGCCAUGCCGCGUGCGGGAAGAAGGCCUUCGGGUUGUAAACCGCUUUUGUCAGGGAAGAAAUCCUUUGAGCUAAUACCUCGGGGGGAUGACGGUACCUGAAGAAUAAGCACUGGCUAACUACGUGCCAGCAGCCGCGGUAAUACGUAGGGUGCAAGCGUUAAUCAGACUUACUGGGCGUAAAGCGUGCGCAGGCGGUUAUAUAAGACAGAUGCGAAAUCCCCGGGCUCAACCUGGGAACUGCAUUUGUGACUGAAUAGCGAGAGUACGGCAGAGGAGGAUGGAAUUCCGCGUGUAGCAGUGAAAUGCGUAGAUAUGCGGAGGAACACCGAUGGCGGAGGCAAUCCCCUGGGCCUGUACUGACGCUCAUGCACGAAAGCGUGGAGAGCAAACA
This 427-nucleotide ribosomal RNA is filed under the name uncultured bacterium. Its description in RNAcentral is "bacterial SSU rRNA". It matches the Rfam family "Bacterial small subunit ribosomal RNA", at positions 355 to 774 of the family's 1533-position model. The record is from RNAcentral.